AUAGUCGCAGCCGUCGUCGGUUCCGUUUUGGAACCAAGAGGGAAUGCGGUAGGGGCAAAAUUCGCCCGAUGCCGUGGCUGCCCCCGCAACUGUGUGCGGUAGUCCUCUCCAUAUGCCACUGAAGAUUUUCUUCGGGAAGAGCUUCUUCGGGAAGGUGGGGAAGGGCGCUGAUCCGCGAGCCAGGAGACCUGCCGGCGACAGGAGAACUGA
RNAcentral lists this non-coding RNA (210 nucleotides) under Mesorhizobium sp. Lineage: Bacteria; Pseudomonadati; Pseudomonadota; Alphaproteobacteria; Hyphomicrobiales; Phyllobacteriaceae. The record is from RNAcentral.